Molecule: transfer RNA, 68 nt
Filed under: Cyrtodactylus peguensis
Lineage: Eukaryota; Metazoa; Chordata; Lepidosauria; Squamata; Gekkonidae
Description: tRNA Trp
Source: RNAcentral
AAGAGUUUAGGUUAAACAAACCAAGGGCCUUCAAAGUCCUAAACAGAGGCCCAGCCCCCUAACUUUUG